AGAGUUUGAUCCUGGCUCAGAACUAACGCUGGCGGCGUGCCUAACACAUGCAAGUCGUACGAGAAAGUUGGCUUCGGCCGAUGAGUAAAGUGGCGCACGGGUGAGUAACGCGUGGAUAAUCUACCUUUUAGUUUGGAAUAACGUACCGAAAGGUGCGCUAAUACCGGAUAAUGCUGCACAACUACUGUUGUGUCGUCAAAGAAGGCUUCUGUUUACAUGCUUUUGCUGAAAGAUGAGUCCGCGUACCAUUAGCUAGUUGGUAGGGUAAUGGCCUACCAAGGCUACGAUGGUUAGCUGGUCUGAGAGGAUGAUCAGCCACACUGGAACUGAGACACGGUCCAGACUCCUACGGGAGGCAGCAGUGAGGAAUAUUGCGCAAUGGGGGCAACCCUGACGCAGCAACGCCGCGUGAGUGAGGAAGGUUUUCGGACCGUAAAGCUCUGUCGAGCGGGAAGAAAUGCAUGGUGGCUAAUAUCCAUCAUGCUUGACGGUACCGCUAAAGGAAGCACCGGCUAACUCCGUGCCAGCAGCCGCGGUAAUACGGGGGGUGCAAGCGUUGUUCGGAAUUAUUGGGCGUAAAGAGCGUGUAGGCGGCUGAAUAAGUCAGAUGUGAAAUCCCUGGGCUUAACCCAGGACGUGCAUUUGAAACUAUUCAGCUUGAGUAGGGGAGAGGAAAGUGGAAUUCCUGGUGUAGAGGUGAAAUUCGUAGAUAUCAGGAGGAACACCGGUAGCGAAGGCGACUUUCUGGCCCUAUACUGACGCUGAGACGCGAAAGCGUGGGUAGCAAACAGGAUUAGAUACCCUGGUAG
This 809-nucleotide ribosomal RNA is filed under the name uncultured bacterium. Its description in RNAcentral is "bacterial SSU rRNA". It matches the Rfam family "Bacterial small subunit ribosomal RNA", at positions 8 to 793 of the family's 1533-position model. The record is from RNAcentral.